Molecule: long non-coding RNA, 419 nt
Filed under: Phasianus colchicus (ring-necked pheasant)
Lineage: Eukaryota; Metazoa; Chordata; Aves; Galliformes; Phasianidae
Description: lncRNA (ENSPCLG00000007160.1)
Source: RNAcentral
AGGAAGAUACUUGAUAGAUAUUCAACUCUGCAGAAAAGAGGAAGCAGCGUGUUGAAGCACUAAGCUGGUUAUUUUGAGUUGUUGAACGGAAACGGGAUACAGCACAGAAAGGAUGCAGAUAGGAUGCAUUUUGUUGCGUAGCAACCUAGGGAAUAGAAGCUCCCGCAUGUAACUGGAGACCAUCUGCUUGUAGGAGAGGGAGAGAAAAAACACGUGUUUAAAAAGGAAAAGAAAAAAAAAGUGCAACACUGAAAAAGGAAGUUUAGUACCCUGAACGUGUCCUGGUCAAAUCAUCCUGGCUGACCUGGAUUUCUCAGAAGAGAAGAUCUGUUGAAAAAAAGCCUGAUUUAUUCAAAGCACGUGCCAUGAAGCUCUGCUGCUCAGCCUGAUCUUCCAGGCUAACACAGACAUCUGAACAA